UCGAAAUUCGAAGGGUCUAGGAGGGGAAGGGGGAGCGGGGAGCGCCGCGCGCGUCCUCGCUCUUCGGAACCUCCGAGGCUUUCAACCCUCUCUACACCUCUGUGCACCCACUGUAGGUCCUUCGGGACCUACGUCUUCUCUUCCAAACUCGCAUGUCUACAGAACGUGACCGUCGUGUCUGCCGGCCCGACCCUCAGGGUCCGCGUCGGCGACCGCGAAAAACCCUAUA
This 229-nucleotide unclassified non-coding RNA is filed under the name uncultured Boletales. Its description in RNAcentral is "sequence contains ITS1". The record is from RNAcentral. Lineage: Eukaryota; Fungi; Basidiomycota; Agaricomycetes; Boletales.